This 67-nucleotide transfer RNA is filed under the name Actinobacteria bacterium 13_2_20CM_2_71_6. RNAcentral describes it as "tRNA-Ala". It matches the Rfam family "tRNA". From Rfam's summary of the family: Transfer RNA (tRNA) molecules are approximately 80 nucleotides in length. The record is from RNAcentral. Lineage: Bacteria; Bacillati; Actinomycetota.
GGGGUCGGCCGUACGAGGCGCCUCGUUCGCAUCGAGGGGGUCAGGGGUUCAAAUCCCCUCAGCUCCA